GAGGGUACAGCUCAGUGGUAGAGUGCGUGCUUAGUGUGCACGAUGUCAUGGGUUGAAUCCUCAGUACCUCCA
Molecule: transfer RNA, 72 nt
Filed under: Camelus bactrianus (Bactrian camel)
Lineage: Eukaryota; Metazoa; Chordata; Mammalia; Artiodactyla; Camelidae
Also listed under: 1 other name
Rfam family: tRNA
About the family: Transfer RNA (tRNA) molecules are approximately 80 nucleotides in length.
Source: Rfam by way of RNAcentral